RNAcentral lists this ribosomal RNA (679 nucleotides) under Escherichia coli. RNAcentral's name for it is "partial 23S ribosomal RNA". It matches the Rfam family "Bacterial large subunit ribosomal RNA", at positions 2149 to 2825 of the family's 2925-position model. Lineage: Bacteria; Pseudomonadati; Pseudomonadota; Gammaproteobacteria; Enterobacterales; Enterobacteriaceae. The record is from RNAcentral.
GGGAGGCUUUGAAGUGUGGACGCCAGUCUGCAUGGAGCCGACCUUGAAAUACCACCCUUUAAUGUUUGAUGUUCUAACGUUGACCCGUAAUCCGGGUUGCGGACAGUGUCUGGUGGGUAGUUUGACUGGGGCGGUCUCCUCCUAAAGAGUAACGGAGGAGCACGAAGGUUGGCUAAUCCUGGUCGGACAUCAGGAGGUUAGUGCAAUGGCAUAAGCCAGCUUGACUGCGAGCGUGACGGCGCGAGCAGGUGCGAAAGCAGGUCAUAGUGAUCCGGUGGUUCUGAAUGGAAGGGCCAUCGCUCAACGGAUAAAAGGUACUCCGGGGAUAACAGGCUGAUACCGCCCAAGAGUUCAUAUCGACGGCGGUGUUUGGCACCUCGAUGUCGGCUCAUCACAUCCUGGGGCUGAAGUAGGUCCCAAGGGUAUGGCUGUUCGCCAUUUAAAGUGGUACGCGAGCUGGGUUUAGAACGUCGUGAGACAGUUCGGUCCCUAUCUGCCGUGGGCGCUGGAGAACUGAGGGGGGCUGCUCCUAGUACGAGAGGACCGGAGUGGACGCAUCACUGGUGUUCGGGUUGUCAUGCCAAUGGCACUGCCCGGUAGCUAAAUGCGGAAGAGAUAAGUGCUGAAAGCAUCUAAGCACGAAACUUGCCCCGAGAUGAGUUCUCCCUGACUCCUUGAG